UCCUCGGUAGCUCAGCCGGUAGAGCAAGUGACUGUUAAUCACUGGGUCNNCGACCUUCCAAAUCGGUGCGACGAC
RNAcentral lists this transfer RNA (75 nucleotides) under Gammaproteobacteria bacterium. RNAcentral's name for it is "tRNA-Asn". Lineage: Bacteria; Pseudomonadati; Pseudomonadota; Gammaproteobacteria. The record is from RNAcentral.